GUGAGGAAUAUUGGACAAUGGGCGCAAGCCUGAUCCAGCCAUGCCGCGUGCAGGAAGACGCAUCUAUGGUUUGUAAACUGCUUUUGUACGGGAAGAAACACUCCCUCGUGAGGGAGCUUGACGGUACCGUAAGAAUAAGGAUCGGCUAACUCCGUUCCAGCAGCCGCGGUAAUACGGAGGAUCCAAGCGUUAUCCGGAAUCAUUGGGUUUAAAGGGUCCGUAGGCGGUUUAAUAAGUCAGUGGUGAAAGCCCAUCGCUCAACGAUGGAACGGCCAUUGAUACUGUUAGACUUGAAUUACAAGGAAGUAACUAGAAUAUGUAGUGUAGCGGUGAAAUGCUUAGAUAUUACAUGGAAUACCAAUUGCGAAGGCAGGUUACUACUUGUGGAUUGACGCUGAUGGACGAAAGCGUGGGGAGCGAACAGGAUUAGAAACCCUUGUAGUCU
Molecule: ribosomal RNA, 445 nt
Filed under: uncultured bacterium
Lineage: Bacteria
Description: partial 16S ribosomal RNA
Rfam family: Bacterial small subunit ribosomal RNA
Source: RNAcentral